AUACUCUGGUUUCUCUUCAGAUCGUAUAAAUCUUUCGCCUUUUACUAAAGAUUUCCGUGGAGAAAAUAGUAUCCUUUUCCAAAGUUGAGACACUAGAAAAGUCUGAUGU
Molecule: small nuclear RNA, 109 nt
Filed under: Ursus americanus (American black bear)
Lineage: Eukaryota; Metazoa; Chordata; Mammalia; Carnivora; Ursidae
Also listed under: 2 other names
Description: U5 spliceosomal RNA
Rfam family: U5 spliceosomal RNA
About the family: U5 RNA is a component of both types of known spliceosome.
Source: Rfam by way of RNAcentral